GGCGAUCAGAUACCGCCCUAGUUCUGACCGUAAACGAUGCCAACUAGCGAUCCGCCAGUCGACUCAUCGCUCUGGUGGGGAGCUUCCCGGAAACGAAAGUCUUCCGGUUCCGGGGGAAGUAUGGUUGCAAAGCUGAAACUUAAAGGAAUUGACGGAAGGGCACCACCAGGAGUGGAGCCUGCGGCUUAAUUUGACUCAACACGGGGAAACUCACCCGGCCUGGACACCGUAAGGAUUGACAGAUUGAUAGCUUUUUCAUGAUUCGGUGGAUGGUGGUGCAUGGCCGUUCUUAGUUCGUGGAGCGAUUUGUCUGGUUUAUUCCGAUAACGAGCGAGACUCUGGCCUACUAAAUAGUUGGCACAUUGCCACUGUGUGCCCAACUUCUUAGAGGGAUUUUCGGUGUUCAGCCGCACGAAAUUGGGCAAUAACAGGUCUGUGAUGCCCUUAGAUGUCCGGGGCUGCACGCGCGCUACACUGGCAAAAUCAGCGUGCUUGUCCUCCCCCGAAAGGGGUUGGUAAACCGAUGAAAAUUUGCCGUGAUUGGGAUCGGACAUUGCAAUUAUUGUCCGUGAACGAGGAAUCCCUUGUAAGGGCGAGUCAUCAACUCGUCCUGAAUACGUCCCUGCCCUUGUA
This 633-nucleotide ribosomal RNA is filed under the name Rotylenchulus reniformis. RNAcentral's name for it is "SSU rRNA". It matches the Rfam family "Eukaryotic small subunit ribosomal RNA", at positions 1003 to 1664 of the family's 1831-position model. Lineage: Eukaryota; Metazoa; Nematoda; Chromadorea; Rhabditida; Hoplolaimidae. The record is from RNAcentral.